Molecule: ribosomal RNA, 301 nt
Filed under: uncultured bacterium
Lineage: Bacteria
Description: partial 16S ribosomal RNA
Rfam family: Bacterial small subunit ribosomal RNA
Source: RNAcentral
CAGUAGCCGCGGUAAUGCGAAGGGUGCAAGCGUUAAUCGGAAUUACUGGGCGUAAAGCGUGCGUAGGUGGUGGUUUAAGUCCGUUGUGAAAGCCCUGGGCUCAACCUGGGAAUUGCAGUGGAUACUGGGUCACUAGAGUGUGGUAGAGGAUAGUGGAAUUUCCGGUGUAGCAGUGAAAUGCGUAGAGAUCGGAAGGAACAUCUGUGGCGAAGGCGACUAUCUGGGCCAAUACUGACGCUCAUGCACGAAAGCGUGGGAAGCAAACAGGAUUAGAUACCCCUGUAGUCCCUGUCUCUUAUAC